CCGAUGAAGGACGUUACUAACGACGAUAUGCUUUGGGUAGCUGUAAGUAAGCGUUGAUCCAGAGAUUUCCGAAUGGGGGAACCCAGCAUGAGUUAUGUCAUGUUAUCGACAUGUGAAUUCAUAGCAUGUCAGAAGGCAGACCCGGAGAACUGAAACAUCUUAGUACCCGGAGGAAGAGAAAGAAAAAUCGAUUCCCUGAGUAGCGGCGAGCGAAACGGGAAGAGCCCAAACCAACAAGCUUGCUUGUUGGGGUUGUAGGACACUCUAUACGGAGUUACAAAAGAACAUGUUAGACGAAUCAUCUGGAAAGAUGAAUCAAAGAAGGUAAUAAUCCUGUAGUCGAAAACAUAUUCUCUCUUGAGUGGAUCCUGAGUACGACGGAGCACGUGAAAUUCCGUCGGAAUCUGGGAGGACCAUCUCCUAAGGCUAAAUACUCUCUAGUGACCGAUAGUGAACCAGUACCGUGAGGGAAAGGUGAAAAGUACCCCGGAAGGGGAGUGAAAGAGAACUUGAAACCGUGUGCUUACAAGUAGUCAGAGCCCGUUAAUGGGUGAUGGCGUGCCUUUUGUAGAAUGAACCGGCGAGUUACGAUCUGAUGCAAGGUUAAGCAGCAAAUGUGGAGCCGCAGCGAAAGCGAGUCUGAAUAGGGCGUUGAGUAUUUGGUCGUAGACCCGAAACCAGGUGAUCUACCCUUGGUCAGGUUGAAGUUCAGGUAACACUGAAUGGAGGACCGAACCGACUUACGUUGAAAAGUGAGCGGAUGAACUGAGGGUAGCGGAGAAAUUCCAAUCGAACUUGGAGAUAGCUGGUUCUCUCCGAAAUAGCUUUAGGGCUAGCCUCAAGUGAUGAUUAUUGGAGGUAGAGCACUGUUUGGACGAGGGGCCCCUCUCGGGUUACCGAAUUCAGACAAACUCCGAAUGCCAAUUAAUUUAACUUGGGAGUCAGAACAUGGGUGAUAAGGUCCGUGUUCGAAAGGGAAACAGCCCAGACCACCAGCUAAGGUCCCCACAUAUACGUUAAGGGGAAAAGGAUGUGGCGUUGCCAAGACAACUAG
RNAcentral lists this ribosomal RNA (1054 nucleotides) under Staphylococcus epidermidis. RNAcentral's name for it is "bacterial LSU rRNA". It matches the Rfam family "Bacterial large subunit ribosomal RNA", at positions 46 to 1096 of the family's 2925-position model. The record is from RNAcentral. Lineage: Bacteria; Bacillati; Bacillota; Bacilli; Caryophanales; Staphylococcaceae.